Molecule: ribosomal RNA, 589 nt
Filed under: Staphylococcus aureus
Lineage: Bacteria; Bacillati; Bacillota; Bacilli; Caryophanales; Staphylococcaceae
Description: bacterial SSU rRNA
Rfam family: Bacterial small subunit ribosomal RNA
Source: RNAcentral
GCGCUGCAUUAGCUAGUUGGUAAGGUAACGGCUUACCAAGGCAACGAUGCAUAGCCGACCUGAGAGGGUGAUCGGCCACACUGGAACUGAGACACGGUCCAGACUCCUACGGGAGGCAGCAGUAGGGAAUCUUCCGCAAUGGGCGAAAGCCUGACGGAGCAACGCCGCGUGAGUGAUGAAGGUCUUCGGAUCGUAAAACUCUGUUAUUAGGGAAGAACAUAUGUGUAAGUAACUGUGCACAUCUUGACGGUACCUAAUCAGAAAGCCACGGCUAACUACGUGCCAGCAGCCGCGGUAAUACGUAGGUGGCAAGCGUUAUCCGGAAUUAUUGGGCGUAAAGCGCGCGUAGGCGGUUUUUUAAGUCUGAUGUGAAAGCCCACGGCUCAACCGUGGAGGGUCAUUGGAAACUGGAAAACUUGAGUGCAGAAGAGGAAAGUGGAAUUCCAUGUGUAGCGGUGAAAUGCGCAGAGAUAUGGAGGAACACCAGUGGCGAAGGCGACUUUCUGGUCUGUAACUGACGCUGAUGUGCGAAAGCGUGGGGAUCAAACAGGAUUAGAUACCCUGGUAGUCCACGCCGUAAACGAUGAGU